This is a long non-coding RNA of Zalophus californianus (California sea lion), 1738 nucleotides long. RefSeq lists it as uncharacterized. Lineage: Eukaryota; Metazoa; Chordata; Mammalia; Carnivora; Otariidae. The record is from RefSeq and is a predicted model, not a curated record. The transcript has 5 exons.
GGCAGCAGGGUGGCGGUUAGGAGUCUGGACCCUGGAAAUCAGACUAGCCCUGCCCUUGCUGUAUGCCUCUACAUGGUUCCUUCCUUUGUGCCUCGGUUUCCCCAUCCAUAAGAUGGCCGUCACAGCAGAGUGCCCACCUCCUCCGCAGACAAGUUUGAGAAUGAAAUGGGACGCAUGAAGAAAAAUGUUGAACCCAAGGCCUGGCCCACAGGAGCAGACGGAACUCUGAUUCUCCCUUCUUUCUCCCCCAGCCCCGAGUCCGCCCACUCUUCCUUUAUGCCGCAAGCAAUGAAGGCCUCGCCUCGCGGAGCCCCCGCGCACCAAUGGGCCCGACCCGUGGAUGAAGUUGCAUUAUAUAGGUUAAUCUUCACUCUUCAACGCCAUACAUUUUAUGCAGGUAGGACCAGCACAGCCUGGGGACUGGGGGCUGGUGAGAGGGAUGCUUAAUUUUCUUGGACUCGGUUUCUCCGUCUGCAAAAUGGAGGAUAUAAAACGCCUGAUCUCAGCCUUCGACCAUGAGGAUCAAACAAGAUUAUGGGUGUGAAUGAGUCUGGAGACCCACCCUGGGAUGUCGCUGACCAGCACCAGUGCCUCCUGAUUGUAUAUCACCGCUGCCACCAGUCAGCCCAAAGAAAAUGUUUGAGGGGAUUCCAGAGCCAUUCCUACUCUCUGCGCCUCCUUUGCUGGACCACUUGCUGGGCACUGGUGUCAGAAGGCAGGGAAGGGGACUAGUGACCCCUAAUUCACUCAUGGGGUCCUCUCUCUGUACCAAGUAUUAACGCUUCUGCUCUGUCGGAAGCCGUGAGGCCCUUGCCUGGCUUCCUGAUGGUUCUGCGUCCUUGGAGGACUGUAUGGUCUUGGGUUUUGAGGGUUGCUUGCAACUCAGGCAGGUAGCAUCUUGGGCAGCAGCCCAGGGAAGAGUGCCGGGCAGUGACCCCAACAGGCAGAGGAGAUCGAGAAUAUGGAGAGGGGUCCACAAGUUCAAGAAACACUGAGGAAGUGACACUGACAGGUCGUGUUAACAGCUUUCUGACAAGCAGUUUGGCAAUAGAUAUAAGGAGACAAGACCUGUUGACUCCCUUCCACCCAGUUAUACCACCUCCAGGUUUAUUUCGAAGAGAUGAGCAGAGACAGACAAAGAUUUAGGUACAAGGAUGCUCCACUCAGUGUUGUUUAUAACAGCAAAAAAUUAGAAUCAGCUUAGACUGGUUGAGUAAGUUAUGGUGCAUCCUUGCAAUGAAAUACCAUAUAGCCGGUUUUUAAAAUUCCAUUUUAAAAUAAGAUUUAAUGCUCAUGGUUCUGAAUGAAAUGAGAGAAAACAAGUUGUAAAACCCCGUGUGUGGAAUGAAACUCGAAAAGCACACUGAGCAAAAGAAAUCAGAGGAGAGACUGGCUCAUUAUGCAAGAUGCCAUUUUUACAAAGUUCUAGAACAGGUGAAUUGGAUCCGUAGUCCAAGACAUCAGACCCAUGGUUGCCUGAGUUUGGGGGGUUAGGGUAAUUGAUGGGAAGGGCAAGCGGAGUUUUGGGGAAUAUGGUAAAUGUUCUUUAUUUUGAUUGUGAUGGAAAUUACACAGGUGUGUACGUUCGUCAAAACUCACUGAAUGGUGCAGCAUCUGCAGAACGUUAUGGCAGUUUCUCAAAAAUUAAACAUAGAAUUCCCAGGGAGCCUGGGUGGCUCAGUCGGUAAGCGUCUGCCUUCGGCUCGGGUCAUGGUCUCGGGGUCCUGGAAUCAAGCCC